CCUACGGGCGGCAGCAGUGAGGAAUAUUGGUCAAUGGGCGUAAGCCUGAACCAGCCAAGUCGCGUGAGGGAUGAAGGUUCAAUGGAUCGUAAACCUCUUUUAUAAGGGAAUAAAGUGCGGGACGUGUCCCGUUUUGUAUGUACCUUAUGAAUAAGGAUCGGCUAACUCCGUGCCAGCAGCCGCGGUAAUACGGAGGAUCCGAGCGUUAUCCGGAUUUAUUGGGUUUAAAGGGUGCGUAGGCGGCCUUUUAAGUCAGCGGGGAAAGUCGGUGGCUCAACCAUAGAAUUGCCGUUGAAACUGGGAGGCUUGAGUAUGUUUGAGGCCGGCGGAAUGCGUGGUGUAGCGGUGAAAUGCUUAGAUAUCACGCAGAACCCCGAUUGCGAAGGCAGCCUGCCAAGCCAUGACUGACGCUGAUGCACGAAAGCGUGGGGAUCAAACAGGAUUAGAGACCCUUGUAGUC
This 460-nucleotide ribosomal RNA is filed under the name uncultured bacterium. RNAcentral's name for it is "partial 16S ribosomal RNA". It matches the Rfam family "Bacterial small subunit ribosomal RNA", at positions 338 to 795 of the family's 1533-position model. The record is from RNAcentral.